AUUGAACGCUGGCGGCAUGCCUUACACAUGCAAGUCGAACGGUAACAGGUUAAGCUGACGAGUGGCGAACGGGUGAGUAAUAUAUCGGAACGUGCCCAGUUGUGGGGGAUAACUGCUCGAAAGAGCAGCUAAUACCGCAUACGACCUGAGGGUGAAAGCGGGGGAUCGCAAGACCGCGCGCAAUUGUAGCGGCCGAUAUCAGAUUAGGUAGUUGGUGGGGUAAAGGCUCACCAAGCCGACGAUCUGUAGCUGGUCUGAGAGGACGACCAGCCACACUGGGACUGAGACACGGCCCAGACUCCUACGGGAGGCAGCAGUGGGGAAUUUUGGACAAUGGACGCAAGUCUGAUCCAGCCAUGCCGCGUGCGGGAAGAAGGCCUUCGGGUUGUAAACCGCUUUUGUCAGGGAAGAAACGGCUCCUUCUAAUACAGGGGGCUAAUGACGGUACCUGAAGAAUAAGCACCGGCUAACUACGUGCCAGCCGCCGCCGUAA
RNAcentral lists this ribosomal RNA (493 nucleotides) under uncultured bacterium. RNAcentral describes it as "partial 16S ribosomal RNA". It matches the Rfam family "Bacterial small subunit ribosomal RNA", at positions 30 to 523 of the family's 1533-position model. The record is from RNAcentral.